RNAcentral lists this ribosomal RNA (1446 nucleotides) under uncultured prokaryote. RNAcentral describes it as "partial 16S ribosomal RNA". It matches the Rfam family "Bacterial small subunit ribosomal RNA". The record is from RNAcentral.
GUGAUAGCGGCGCGCUACACAUGCAAGUCGAGCGAGAAAGGGCUUCGGCCCCGGUACAGCGGCGCACGGGUGAGUAACGCGUAGGUAAUCUGCCCCUCGGCGGGGGAUAACCUUCCGAAAGGAGGGCUAAUACCGCAUGAGACCACGGCCUGAAAUGGCUGCGGUUAAAGCUGGCCUCUUCAUGAAAGCUGGCACCGGAGGAUGAGCCUGCGUCCCAUCAGCUAGUUGGUAGGGUAACGGCCUACCAAGGCGAAGACGGGUAGCUGGUCUGAGAGGAUGAUCAGCCACACUGGAACUGAGACACGGUCCAGACUCCUACGGGAGGCAGCAGUGGGGAAUCUUGCGCAAUGGGCGAAAUGCCUGACGCAGCGACGCCGCGUGAGCGAUGAAGGCCUUAGGGUUGUAAAGCUCUGUGGAGAGGGACGAAUAAGCACGAGCGAAUACCUCGUGUGAUGACGGUACCUUUUUAGCAAGCACCGGCUAACUCUGUGCCAGCAGCCGCGGUAAGACAGAGGGUGCAAACGUUGUUCGGAAUUACUGGGCGUAAAGCGCGUGUAGGCUGUUGCGAAAGUCGGGUGUGAAAUCCCUGGGCUCAACCCAGGAAGUGCACUCGAAACUACGCGACUUGAGUCUCGGAGAGGGAAGCGGAAUUCUGGGUGUAGAGGUGAAAUUCGUAGAUAUCCAGAGGAACACCAGUGGCGAAGGCGGCUUCCUGGACGAUCACUGACGCUGAUGCACGAAAGCGUGGGGAUCAAACAGGAUUAGAUACCCUGGUAGUCCACGCCGUAAACGAUGAUAACUCGCUGUUGGCGAUACACAGUCAGCGGCUUAGCGAAAGCGUUAAGUUAUCCACCUGGGGAGUACGCUCGCAAGAGUGAAACUCAAAGGAAUUGACGGGGGCCCGCACAAGCGGAGGAACAUGUGGUUUAAUUCGAUGAUACGCGAGGAACCUUACCUGGGCUUAAAUGUGCUAUGACCGCCGGAGAAAUCUGGCUUUUCGCAAGAACAGAGUACAAGGUGCUGCAUGGUUGUCGUCAGCUCGUGCCGUGAGGUGUCGGGUUAAGUCCCAUAACGAGCGCAACCCUUAUGAUUAGUUGCUAACAGGUCAAGCUGAGGACUCUAGUCAGACUGCCACCGUAAGGUGUGAGGAAGGUGGGGAUGACGUCAAAUCAGCACGGCCCUUAUGUCCAGGGCUACACACGUGUAACAAUGGCCGAUACAGAGGGCAGCCACCCCGCGAGGGGUAGCUAAUCCGGAAAAGUCGGUCUCAGUUCGGAUCGGAGUCUGCAACCCGACUCCGUGAAGCUGGAUUCGCUAGUAAUCGCGCAUCAGCCAUGGCGCGGUGAAUACGUUCCCGGGCCUUGUACACACCGCCCGUCAAACCAUGGGAGCCGAGGGUACCUGAAGUCUGUGACCGCAAGGAGCGGCCUAGGGUAAAAAAGAACA